CCUACGGGGUGCUGCAGUGAGGAAUAUUGGUCAAUGGGCGCGAGCCUGAACCAGCCAAGUCGCGUGAGGGAGGACGGCCCUACGGGUUGUAAACCUCUUUUGCCGGGGAGCAACGGGCGUCACGUGUGGCGCCACUGAGAGUACCCGGAGAAAAAGCAUCGGCUAACUCCGUGCCAGCAGCCGCGGUAAUACGGAGGAUGCGAGCGUUAUCCGGAUUUAUUGGGUUUAAAGGGUGCGUAGGCGGAUCGUUAAGUCAGUGGUCAAAUUGAGGGGCUCAACCCCUUCCCGCCAUUGAAACGGGCGUUCUUGAGUGGAAGAGAAGUAUGCGGAAUGCGUGGUGUAGCGGUGAAAUGCAUAGAUAUCACGCAGAACCCCGAUUGCGAAGGCAGCAUGCCGGCUUCCGACUGACGCUGAAGCACGAAAGCGUGGGGAUCGAACAGGAUUAGAUACCCUUGUAGUC
RNAcentral lists this ribosomal RNA (460 nucleotides) under uncultured bacterium. RNAcentral describes it as "partial 16S ribosomal RNA". It matches the Rfam family "Bacterial small subunit ribosomal RNA", at positions 338 to 795 of the family's 1533-position model. The record is from RNAcentral.